UUGGCUAUUAUGUACCUAGUAUAAAGUAAUGAAAAAUCCAAUAACUUUUAUAAGUUUGUUCUGCAAUACUACGCCAAAUUGAUUGUAUAUGAAAAGCUAAUAAAUUUCAUAAAUAUGAAUCGGUAUAGUUUUUAGAAGGUGUGGUUUGCAUUCAGAACAAAUUAUUUUCGGGUCAGGCUGUGAAAUUUUAAAGAAAAACCGCUGUUCGUUAAAAUUGUUCUAUAUUUGUUAUGAGAUCGGAUUAUAUCAUGAUGGAAAAUGGGAAAAGCACGAAAUUUACGAUUUUUGGAUUGUGAUACAGGAACAAAUGUAUUUCGAUGGUGUGAACGCCCCAACCUGAUGAAACGAGGAAAUGUUCUUCCGGAGGGAGCUUCACCUGAACUAAAUGUUCAAGAUUUUCGUAGAGCUUCAGGUAAUUAAUUUCCGCUCUCGGAAGGCCCCUGAAACUCCAACCCAAUUUCCCGGCUAGGGUGCAUCAAGUGGCAAUUUCAAUCGGUAACGGUUGAUUAGCAGCAGGUUCCACCAUUUGAAAAAAGUAAUGUCGACCACUUUCAGCUGGAUGAGAAGUUUCAACCAUAUAUAUUUACAAACGUCAGCCAGUCCUACAUAAUUCAUCAAUAAAAACAAUCUAAACUUUUAUCACGAUAUAUCAUUUAUACGAAAUCCGAAGAAAAAAAACGAAAACAUUUAUUUCACUGCACUGAACUGUGAAUGGAAUCAAAUUGACAAACUAUUACAUCCAUUGGAGUUUCCAAUAAAUAUAAU
Long non-coding RNA from Uranotaenia lowii, 765 nucleotides. RefSeq lists it as uncharacterized. NCBI's taxonomy places the organism in Eukaryota, Metazoa, Arthropoda, Insecta, Diptera, Culicidae. The record is from RefSeq and is a predicted model, not a curated record. The transcript is spliced from 3 exons.